AGCGAACGCUGGCGGCAGGCCUAACACAUGCAAGUCGAACGAACUCUUCGGAGUUAGUGGCGGACGGGUGAGUAACACGUGGGAACGUGCCUUUUGGUUCGGAAUAACUCAGGGAAACUUGUGCUAAUACCGAAUGUGCCCUUCGGGGGAAAGAUUUAUCGCCAUUAGAGCGGCCCGCGUCUGAUUAGCUAGUUGGUGAGGUAACGGCUCACCAAGGCGACGAUCAGUAGCUGGUCUGAGAGGAUGACCAGCCACACUGGGACUGAGACACGGCCCAGACUCCUACGGGAGGCAGCAGUGGGGAAUCUUGCGCAAUGGGCGAAAGCCUGACGCAGCCAUGCCGCGUGAAUGAUGAAGGUCUUAGGAUUGUAAAAUUCUUUCACCGGGGACGAUAAGGACGGUACCCGGAGAAGAAGCCCCGGCUAACUUCGU
This 432-nucleotide ribosomal RNA is filed under the name uncultured bacterium. RNAcentral describes it as "partial 16S ribosomal RNA". It matches the Rfam family "Bacterial small subunit ribosomal RNA", at positions 29 to 506 of the family's 1533-position model. The record is from RNAcentral.